RNAcentral lists this unclassified non-coding RNA (278 nucleotides) under fungal sp. RNAcentral describes it as "partial internal transcribed spacer region". The stretch from base 1 to 46 matches the Rfam family "Eukaryotic small subunit ribosomal RNA", at positions 1786 to 1831 of the family's 1831-position model. Lineage: Eukaryota; Fungi. The record is from RNAcentral.
AAGUCGUAACAAGGUUUCCGUAGGUGAACCUGCGGAAGGAUCAUUGCCACACACGAUCCAAGAUCGACACUUUUUGUGAACUGUAAACUUUUUAUUGAUAUUUGGAGAAGUGCAACCUCACGGUAGCAUGUAUCCGGUAUCGAUGAAACUUUUAAACACCAAAAAACUAAACAAAAAUGAUUUAUACAUUGGAACUUAAAUGUUAUAGCAAGUUCGUCUUGAUAUAACGCUAGAUUAUAAUUGUAAAACAACUUUUAACAAUGGAUAUCUAGGUUCUU